Molecule: unclassified non-coding RNA, 391 nt
Filed under: soil metagenome
Description: partial contains 5.8S ribosomal RNA, internal transcribed spacer 2, and large subunit ribosomal RNA
Rfam family: 5.8S ribosomal RNA (bases 1-122)
Source: RNAcentral
GAUGAAGAACGUAGCGAAAUGCGAUACUUGGUGUGAAUUGCAGAAUCCCGUGAACCAUCGAGUCUUUGAACGCAAGUUGCGCCCGAAGCCAUUAGGCCGAGGGCACGCCUGCCUGGGCGUCACACGUCGUUGCCCCCCCAUCUACUCCUUCGGGAUUGCGGGGGGCGGAUGAUGGCCACCCGUGCGCCUCGUCGCGCGGUUGGCAUAAAUGCCAAGUCCUCGGCGACGCACGCCACGACAAUCGGUGGUUGCGAAACCUCGGUUGCCCGUCGUGUGCGGUCGUCGCGCAUCGAGGGCUCGAAAAAAUUGCCGGGCUCCGGCUCGGCUUUCAACGCGACCCCAGGUCAGGCGGGGUUACCCGCUGAAUUUAAGCAUAUCAAUAAGCGGAGGA